RNAcentral lists this ribosomal RNA (497 nucleotides) under uncultured bacterium. Its description in RNAcentral is "partial 16S ribosomal RNA". It matches the Rfam family "Bacterial small subunit ribosomal RNA", at positions 28 to 507 of the family's 1533-position model. The record is from RNAcentral.
GAUGAACGCUGGCGGCGUGCCUAAUACAUGCAAGUCGAGCGAACGGACGAGAAGCUUGCUUUUCUGAUGUUAGCGGCGGACGGGUGAGUAACACGUGGAUAACCUACCUAUAAGACUGGGAUAACUUCGGGAAACCGGAGCUAAUACCGGAUAAUAUUUUGAACCGCAUGGUUCAAAAGUGAAAGACGGUCUUGCUGUCACUUAUAGAUGGAUCCGCGCUGCAUUAGCUAGUUGGUAAGGUAACGGCUUACCAAGGCAACGAUGCAUAGCCGACCUGAGGGGGUGAUCGGCCACACUGGAGCUGAGACACGGUCCAGACUCCUACGGGAGGCAGCAGUAGGGAAUCUUCCGCAAUGGGCGAAAGCCUGACGGAGCAACGCCGCGUGAGUGAUGAAGGUCUUCGGAUCGUAAAACUCUGUUAUUAGGGAAGAACAUAUGUGUAAGUAACUGUGCACAUCUUGACGGUACCUAAUCAGAAAGCCACGGCUAACUACGUG